RNAcentral lists this long non-coding RNA (4864 nucleotides) under Felis catus (domestic cat). Its description in RNAcentral is "lncRNA (ENSFCAG00000042903.2)". Lineage: Eukaryota; Metazoa; Chordata; Mammalia; Carnivora; Felidae. The record is from RNAcentral.
CCCAGAUGCAAUUCUCCCCCACCCUUCUAAUCAACCGUUUGUCAGGUAAUGUGAGACGGGGAGCAAAAGGACCUCAUCCCUCUUCGGGAACAUCCUUCAUCUUGGCCCGGGAGAACCCAGGCAUCCCAUUGGCUCUCGGGGCAAGCCCCGCCCCUUCCGGCAAGGCCUUCUCUUCCGGCGUGAAGGGCCUCCACUGCCUGCCCGGCGAGACGCUCCUUGCUUUCUCCUCCCUGGGAGUCCCUCACGAGGCUCUGCUCCUCUGAAGGGAGUCUGGCGUCUCCCUGACGCACGCGUUUGCUUCAAGAUUUACAUUUUCGAUUUCCUUGCCCGUUUUUCGACCGCAUACAUGAAAGAGAAUCGCAAAUGCCCAGAAAACUCAAAGGCCUCCUUAGACACCUGCAGCUCCACCGAGCCAACGGGCUCCAAUGCGCGCCCAGAAGAGGAUGAAGACACGAGAAGGGAGAACGCAUGUGCAAGGAAUCUCAGGGCCAGCCCUAAAAUAAGAUGUGGAAGCCCGUACCCGCUGUCGUGCAAGCAAGCUCGAGCUUAGAAUUUCUUAAGAGCAUUGAGGGUUUCGCCCCUACCAUGUCAAGCUCAACACGACCCACGCUCAAAUCUCAUCCUUUGGCAGACAACUGGCUCGAAAUCACCACGGAGGGCCUAUCGACGCUAGGACGGGUUGGUGGAAAGAAAGCCGUGUCACCUGAAUGUGUGGCACGGCCGGCUCUGGGCCCCUGGGGACCAUUUGGGAAGACUCACCUCCCAGUCCAGAGGUUCAGGGAAGCCAAUUCAUCUUUGGUAAAAAAAGAAAAAAAAGAAAAGAAAAGAAAAAGAAAGCAGAGGAGAAAUGGCAAGGUUGCAAAAUAAGAAACAUCCAUUCACAGCCACAAAUACUCUCGGGAAUGCCUAUCCUGUGCCAAAGAGUAUGCUCCAUGAUGCAAAGAACCAAAUCCAUUUUAGCCACUUUUCACGAGAACCUCAAGAGAGAAGAUUAACAAAAGGAAACAAAAUGAAUGGGUGAACUAAGUUUUCUUUCCAGGUCAAAGGACUAAGGGCUUUGAGCGGGAUCCAUGAGAAGAGAGAGAACUCUGCAUAUAAGAUUUUGUGACCCCUGUAGCCCCGUGUCACUUCUGGAACGGACCUUCUGGUUAGCCGGAGUAGUGGAGACAGAGAUAGUUCUCCGGACCCACUGUCAACAGAGCACAGACUAGGUGAUUGUCCAAUGUGCAGAUGGUUUGAGUUGAGCCGCCCGUGCUUCUCCAUCCGGAUUGUCUUGUGCUCAACAGCAGUUAUUUGAGAGGCUAAAAAUUCAGUCUGAGCAAAACAAUUCAUCUGGACCAAGGGAACCCGUCGGUCUUGGCCUCACUGAUGCUGUUCUCGCUUGUCAACCACCUCAGGAUCUGGUUGAUCUGUCGCUUUUUCUUUUUUCUUCCAGGCGUCUUACGACGCAAAAGGAUUUUCACCUCCAGCUCUUUCUCGCUAUGCUCUCUUGUGAUCCCCUUUCAGAAACAACAGCUCCUUUUCAACCCUUCCUUCGCUGGAGAGACUCGGACGUCUGUAUGAAGCCACAAGGGUCUCUUGAGCUCAGCCGUCGUGACCAUCUCACGGCUCAGGCCAAGUUUUGGGAAAGAGUGGAAACUGAAGCAGCACGUGUGGCCAGAUGUGUGGGCGUUAGGGCCCUAGGACACGCAAGCGUCCUCACACCCAUCCGUGCUCUGCAGACGGCGGGCCCGCAUCUCGAGAGCACGAAUAUUGCUGUGGCACUUUUCGCUUGCAGCGCACGCUGCCGAUAGACUUUCUCGCCCGCUUUCUCAGGAGUAGGAUCUUCUCCCCACCCUGUCUUUUCACCUGGACACGUGGGGGCGCCCGGGUGGCUCAGUAGUUAAGCGUCUGAUUCUUGAUUUCGGCUCAGGUCGUGAGCUCACGGUUCAGGAGUUGAAGCCGCGCAUCAGGGUCUGGGCUGACGGCACACAGCCUGCUUGGGAUUCUUCUGUCUCUCUCUGCCCCUGCCCUGCUCGUGCUCCGUCUCUAUCUCAAAAUGAAUGUUAAAAAAGAAAAGGAAAAAGAAAGAAAGAAACUGGGGAUGUGGCCUAAUGAUUACUUUGAACUUCCUCCUUUUCUUUUUUUUUUUUAACUUUUUAAAAAUGUUUAUUGAUUUUUUGAGAGAGAGAGACAGAGCACGAGUGGGGGAGGAACAGAGAAAGAGGGAGGCACAGAGUCGGAAGCAGGUUCCAGGCUCCGAGCUGUCAGCACAGAGCCGGACGCGAGGCUCGAACUCACGAACUGCGAGAUCAUGACCUGAGCCGAAGCCGGACGCUCAAGCGACUGAGCCACUCAGGGGCCCCAACCUUCCUCCUUUUCAAGUUGGCCAAGCACUAGUCAAGGAGGUACAGGAAGUGGUCUGUGUUAACGCUGGGAGCAUUUUAAAGGAAAGGAGUGUGUGCUUAUUUUCUCUCCUUUUCUCCUUCCUGCUGCUGGAAUGCAGACGUGAUGACCAGAACUAAGGCGGCACUUUUGGUCCCUGAGGACAAAGGUCACCCCAUAGGACAGUGGUCCUUAAACUUUUUGGUCUCAGAACCCCUUUUACACUCUUAAACAUUUUUAAAGAUUAACCAAAAGCUUUUACUUGUGUAGGUUAUACUUAUUAAUAUUUAUAGUAUUAGAAACGAAAGCAGAAACAUUAAAAACUCAAGUGUGCAUGAGCACAUACUCCGUUACCUUUCAGAGCAAUAUCAGCACACAUCAUGGGGCCUCUAGAACAUGCCACAGUUGAGGCCAUGAGAGUGAAGAGGCAAAAGACAUCUCAGUGUCACAUAAAAAACAGUUGUGAUCUCACAGGACUCUUGGGGACCUCGAGAGUCUUGGGGACCUCAAGUUCCCUGAGGAGGUCAACGCAGGGAAGUAGAAGGUGUCUAAGGGUCGGAGGAAUUUGCGGACCUAGUAAACACUAUUUCGGACAACGACAAUCAACCUCCAGACUCUUCAUGGGAGAAAAAUUAAAUUAAUCUUCGUUGUUGAAAAUGCCGCUCUUUGAGGCCUUUUGUCCCUUGUGAGCAACCAAAUCCUACAUAGCACACUCUUUGGAGGUUUAGUGGGACGCACCCUGUGAAUGCGGCCCUAUUCCUCCGAUUCCCCCCCCCCCCAGGGGCUAAAAAUAACAACGUACAUUCUCAUGCAGUUUGAACAAUUGCGUUUGGAGAAAGACAAAAAUUUUCCGCGAAGGCCUUCCUUUUUCUCCUUCGUCAGUGUUUAGGCAAGAAAGAAUGUCCUAACUUUAACCUCCACAAUGAGGGGAGACAUAAAUGAGAAGUCUCAGCCACGGGAUUCACCUUGCGGGGGAAUUGCACUGCCUUUUUUUUUUUUUUUAAUUUAAUGUUUAUUUAUUUUUGAGAGAGAGAGAGACAGAGCACGAGUGGGGGAGGAACAGAGAGAGAAGGAGACACAGAAUCUGAAGGAGGCUCCAGGCUCUGAGCCGUCAGCACAGAGCCCGACGCGGGGCUCGAGCUCACAGACCGCGAGAUCAUGACCUGAGCCGAAGUCAGGCGCUCAAUCGACUGAGCCACCCAGGCGCCCCUGCACUGCCUUUUAAAAAAUGCUCCUGAAUAUGAAAGCACGAAGAAGGUCAGGGCUCGCGUUUAAUCUCCCCGACACCGCGGUGAGAUAUGUGCUAUUAUCCCCAUCCUGCAGAUGCAGAGGCUGAAACAGGGAGGAGCUUGCCAGUCGUUACCGUAUAGUGUUUUCCUUUCUCAGAAUGUCCACUCAGUCGGCCUCUGAGGGCUCCGGUCUAAGCAUCCCUAAGCCUUCCAUGGACCCUAAACACGUCAAUAUCCUUCCAGGUUGCCCUGAAGCUGGCUGUGCAUGUGGAAGAGAGGGGCGGGUCUGUGGAGGAGAGAGACAACUUCUCCAAAUCAGAAUGUCCAGCUGGGACCCUCUUCCCUUACUCCCACCGUGAACCUCCUGUCGCAGAGUCUGACACCAGUCAUACUCGGGGCAGAACCUACUGCAGCUCUCUCCUCCGCGACGCGAGGUAUGUGAAGAUUCAUGAAACACCUGUCAGGUCUAGGUCUGGCCGGCUUCCAGCUCGUCCUGUACCCCUGUGGAAGAAGUAUUAAGACCCAUUCAAUGGUCCCUCCAGCCUCUCUGAAGGUAUUUUCAGGAGGUCUAAGAUAGACGAAGAGAAGGAAGGACCACCAAGCUAUUUAUACUCCUCUAAAGGCUCUAGGUGGUUGGGAAAAUGACUGCCCCCCAAAUCCAGUGCGACAUAUCCUGCUGCAAAACAUAGCGUGACGUUUAUAGCUUGCAACAAACUGCCACGGGAAACCCUCGAGUGUUAUCAUCCACCCCUGAUUGCAAUUGGGUUUCUUUUUAGUUUUUCAAGUUUAUUUAUUUAUUCUGAGAGAGGGAGAAGAGAGAGAGAAUCCCAAGCAGGUUCCUCACGGUCAGCACAGAGCCCCAUGUGGGGCUUGAACUCACAAACUGUGAGAUCAUGACUUGAGCCAAAACCAAGAGUCAGACGCUCACCCAUCUGAGCCACCCAGGUGCCCCCACAAUGGAGUCAUUUAAGUGCUGGAGUUGGGGGGUAGAAAUAGGGCAGUCUUUUGAGGGGGGUGGGUGGGUGUGGCACUCACAAAAACAUUUUAUAAGCAACAAAAUAGUCAAGUUAAAGAUAGAAACAUUGGUCAUAUCACAAGGGAAAACGUAUAAAGUAUGUUUGCAUAAUUUUUCAGAAUAAUUAACUUUUCAAAAAAUGAGUGUUGAGUUUUUCUUCAUAUCACUGCCCCACAGAUACUUUCAGCAAGGGGAUGAUGUGUUUUAUUGAAGAAUGGGCAAGAAUAAAUCUGGUGUUUCAGCUUAAAAUAAUACA